CACGUAGGGUGCGAGCGUUGUCCGGAAUUAUUGGGCGUAAAGAGCUCGUAGGCGGUGUGUCGCGUCGGCCGUGAAAACCUGCAGCUUAACUGUGGGCUUGCGGUCGAUACGGGCAUCACUGGAGUUCGGCAGGGGAGACUGGAAUUCCUGGUGUAGGGGUGAAAUGCGCAGAUAUCAGGAGGAACACCGGUGGCGAAGGCGGGUCUCUGGGCCGAUACUGACGCUGAGGAGCGAAAGCGUGGGGAGCGAACAGG
This 254-nucleotide ribosomal RNA is filed under the name uncultured bacterium. Its description in RNAcentral is "partial 16S ribosomal RNA". It matches the Rfam family "Bacterial small subunit ribosomal RNA", at positions 524 to 776 of the family's 1533-position model. The record is from RNAcentral.